This is a long non-coding RNA of Talpa occidentalis (Iberian mole), 321 nucleotides long. RefSeq lists it as uncharacterized. The transcript is spliced from 3 exons. The record is from RefSeq and is a predicted model, not a curated record. Lineage: Eukaryota; Metazoa; Chordata; Mammalia; Eulipotyphla; Talpidae.
CAGUGUAGGAUUUUGGAGGUCCUUCCUCCAUCACAUCAUCAAAAUGGUUUUGCUAAUGGACAUGUCAGCAAUGUAGAUGGAGAAACUAUUAUCAUUAGUGAUAGUGAUGAUUCAGAAACACAAAACAGUUCUUUUCAAAACGGGAAGAAAAAAAAUACAAUUGAUCCUUUAUUAUUCAAGUACAAGGUGCAACCCACUAGAAAAGAAUUGUAUGAGUGUACUAUUGUUAAAGCAACACAAAUCAGCCGGAGAAAACAUCUAUUUUCUCGUGAUAAACUAAAGCUUUUUCUGAAGCAACACUGUGAACCACAAGAUGGAAUC